UGAACGCUGGCGGCGUAGCCUAACACAUGCAAAGUCGAACGAAGCACUGCAGAUGGAGAUUACGUCAAAAUCUGCUUGACUAGUGGCGGACGGGUGAGUAAUGUGUGAGCAACCUGCCUUUCAGAGGGGGACAACAGUUGGAAACGACUGCUAAUACCGCAUAAUGGUAUUGGAAAGGGGCAUCCUUUUUGAUACCAAAAGGAGCAAUCCGCUGAAAAGAUGGGCUCACAUCUGAUUAGCUAGUUGGUGGGGUAACGGCCUACCAAGGCUGCGAUCAGUAGCCGGACUGAGAGGUUGAACGGCCACAUUGGGACUGAGAUACGGCCCAGACUCCUACGGGAGGCAGCAGUGGGGAAUAUUGGGCAAUGGGCGAAAGCCCUGACCCAGCAACGCCGCGUGAAGGAAGAAGGUCUUCGGAUUGUAAACUUCUUUUAUGAGGGACGAAGGACGUGACGGUACCUCAUGAAUAAGCCACGGCUAACUACGUGCCAGCCGCAGC
This 499-nucleotide ribosomal RNA is filed under the name uncultured bacterium. RNAcentral describes it as "bacterial SSU rRNA". It matches the Rfam family "Bacterial small subunit ribosomal RNA", at positions 30 to 518 of the family's 1533-position model. The record is from RNAcentral.